CAGCAUGUUCCCAGGGUCUCUGGCUGCUUGUGGUCAAGAGACCUCCAAAUGCAUGCAAGAGCAACCUGGAGAGUCAGUGACAACCCAGGUCAGCAGGUUCAAAUGAAAUUGAAAUUUAAGUCCAGUUCAA
This 130-nucleotide small nucleolar RNA is filed under the name Dasypus novemcinctus (nine-banded armadillo). RNAcentral describes it as "Small nucleolar RNA SNORA44 (ENSDNOG00000033076.1)". It matches the Rfam family "Small nucleolar RNA SNORA44", at positions 1 to 109 of the family's 131-position model. Rfam says of the family: ACA44 is a member of the H/ACA class of snoRNA that guide the sites of modification of uridines to pseudouridines. Lineage: Eukaryota; Metazoa; Chordata; Mammalia; Cingulata; Dasypodidae. The record is from RNAcentral.